Molecule: ribosomal RNA, 495 nt
Filed under: uncultured bacterium
Lineage: Bacteria
Description: partial 16S ribosomal RNA
Rfam family: Bacterial small subunit ribosomal RNA
Source: RNAcentral
GACGAACGCUGGCGGCGUGCCUAAUACAUGCAAGUAGAACGCUGAAGGAGGAGCUUGCUUCUCUGGAUGAGUUGCGAACGGGUGAGUAACGCGUAGGUAACCUGCCUGGUAGCGGGGGAUAACUAUUGGAAACGAUAGCUAAUACCGCAUAAUAGUAGAUGUCGCAUGACAUUUGCUUAAAAGGUGCAAUUGCAUCACUACCAGGUGGACCUGCGUUGUAUUAGCCAGUUGGUGAGGUAACGGCUCACCAAGGCAACGAUACAUAGCCGACCUGAGAGGGGGAGCUGCCAAGCCGAGACGGGGACACGGCCCAGACUCCUGCGGGAGGCAGCAGGAGGGAAUCUUCGGCAAAGGAAGGAAGUCUGACCGAGCAACGCCGCGUGAGUGAAGAAGGUUUUCGGAUCGUAAAGCUCUGUUGUAAGAGAAGAACGAGUGUGAGAGUGGAAAGUUCACAAUGUGACGGUAUCUGACCAGAAAGGGACGGCUAACUACGUG